Long non-coding RNA from Pygocentrus nattereri (red-bellied piranha), 1409 nucleotides. RefSeq lists it as uncharacterized. Lineage: Eukaryota; Metazoa; Chordata; Actinopteri; Characiformes; Serrasalmidae. The transcript has 3 exons. The record is from RefSeq and is a predicted model, not a curated record.
CAUUUGCAUACUCAUUUGAAUGGGCUGCUCGUACGUAGAUUAGCAGAAAGGUUGGUCGCUGAUUGCCGUGCUUUCUUGGGAAUACUGAGAUCAUAUUAGACACACAAGGUCCAGCGUGCAUCUAGUGAACUUGACCGGAUGCUGUUGCUGAGACAGAGCAACCAGACCAGGACUGUACUUCCUCAUCCUUUUUUAGGAUAAAUCUUUUGUGACACUAUUUUAUAUUUGCUUUUUGCGUUUUACACUCGUGUUUUUUUCUGCAGUACUUUCCCCUUUAGCGUUGCUGUUUUUUGUUUUUUGCGCUUCAGUUUUUACCUUCCUCUAUGUUAUCUGGGGCGUGGGAAGAGGAGAAAGGUGUGGCCAAGAUGGAAAGGCAUGUCAUGCACGUUUCUCGUCAUCAGCUGGAGCUCCCGCCGCACAACCGACGUUUCAACCAUCGAUGUAUACAUAGAUGCCGCGUGGGGUCCAGCCAGGCACGGCAACAGCGCCGCCAUUUUGGGGCGGUCAACAUCCCUGCUGGACUGUAUUCAGUAUCAUUGACUCUCAUUACAGAGAAAGACACUGUCCAAAAUUAUACUAUUUAAAGAAUAUUGCACUCAGAAAGCGGGAUGUACACAUGUAUAUAAAGCAUACAUACAUAGGUGCGUGCACGCGUGCGCGCGUUUGUGCGCGUGUAAACGUGAAAGUGUAAUGAGAAAGAAAUAAUGACUUUGAAUGAGCUGUACUAGGAAAACGGCAGGAAAAUGGCUUAAUGGUUUACGCGUCUAACUGCGGUUCAACUUCGGUUAAGUCCGUCGCAUAACACGGUGACCUUUCUUUCUUUCGUCUUUUUUUUCUUGCCUUCUGUAAGGCUAGCUAACGUUAGCUGCCUGGCUAAGUGGAUUACGUGGUUCCGAGCUGUGCGCGUGGGAUCGGUUGCUAGGUGAUGCGGCACUGAUUCCCAGUGUGCUGCACUACAAUCCCCAGCAUGUAGUGCGAAAAAUGUAGCUGUGCAUUCCCUGCUAGAGGUCAAUUGAGUGUGUCCAAUCGGCUUGCCCACAUGUCUUUGGGAUUGCGGGAGGAAACCGGAGAGCCCGGAGUAAACCCACGCGGACACGGGGAGAACAUGCAAACUCCACACAGAGAGGACCCCGCCCGAGAUUCGAACCGGGACCCUUCGUGCUGUGAGGCAACAAUGCUACCCACGUUUUUCCUUUGUACUUUUAAAAGUUCCCAGAAGAAGCACAAGGAGAACACGACACGCAAGCAACACCCAGAAGGUACCAUGUUCAAAGUGAAACCCAGGUCCUUCUUGCUGUGAGGUGACAGUGCUAUCCACUGAAGCAUCGGGCCUCGGCACGCACUAAGACGCAUGUCACUCAAGUACCACAUUAUUACAGUGUUGAAAUAAAUGAUAAAUGUUUCUUGUU